GCGCACCAGGCGCGAAACCUCCGCAAUGCGGGAAACCGCGACGGGGGACCCCGAGUGCCGUGGCAACGCCACGGCUUUUCCGGAGUGUAAAAAGCUCCGGGAAUAAGGGCUGGGCAAGGCCGGUGGCAGCCGCCGCGGUAAUACCGGCGGCCCGAGUGGUGGCCGCUAUUAUUGGGCCUAAAGCGUCCGUAGCCGGGCCCGUAAGUCCCUGGCGAAAUCCCACGGCUCAACCGUGGGGCUUGCUGGGGAUACUGCGGGUCUUGGGACCGGGAGAGGCGGGGGGUACCCCUGGGGUAGGGGUGAAAUCCUAUAAUCCCAGGGGGACCGCCAGUGGCGAAGGCGCCCCGCUGGAACGGGUCCGACGGUGAGGGACGAAGGCCAGGGGAGCAAACCGGAUUAGAUACCGUGUAGU
RNAcentral lists this ribosomal RNA (412 nucleotides) under uncultured microorganism. RNAcentral describes it as "bacterial SSU rRNA". It matches the Rfam family "Archaeal small subunit ribosomal RNA", at positions 330 to 745 of the family's 1478-position model. The record is from RNAcentral.